RNAcentral lists this long non-coding RNA (613 nucleotides) under Brassica napus (rape). Its description in RNAcentral is "long non-coding RNA (BNAP_LNC019181)". The record is from RNAcentral. Lineage: Eukaryota; Viridiplantae; Streptophyta; Magnoliopsida; Brassicales; Brassicaceae.
AGAAAAAAAAACAUAGCACUAAAAUAGCUUUCUUUUUCCAACUUCUCACGUGAAGGCUACUAGUAGCGAACGUCAUUCAAAUUCGCCCACACCAUAUAAUAUAUGGACACUUAAGUACUUAGGUUCACCCUAUGGACGAAUCUUUAAAUUCACCUUAUUUUUUAUAAUUAAUCAAAAUGACACAUAGAUUACUAAUUAAAAAACAUUAAAUUAAAUAAAAAAUAGUUACAAAAAAUAAAAACGCUAAUUUUAACGACGCUAACGCUUCCAGCUAAACUCUAAACCCUAAAUCUUAAAUUCUGAACCCUAUACCCUAAAUUCUAAACCCAAAUCCAAACUCCUAAACCCAAACCCUAUAUCCUAAACCCUAAUCCUAGACCCUAAACCCAAAUUAUAUACCUUAAACCCAAAAACUAGACUAUAAACCAAAACUCUAAACUCUAUACCGUAAACCCAAAUCCUAUACCCUAAAUCCAAACAGUAAAUCUUAAACCCAAAUUAUAUAUCCUAAACCCAAAACAUUAACUAUAAGUCCAAACGGUAAAUCCUAAACCCAAACCGUAAAUCCUAAACCUAAACCCUAUACCCUAAACCCAAGUCUUAGACUCUAAAC